CUUCAAGACCUCAUAACUUUUUUAAUUCUGCCUGAGGUCUAUAAUUUUGACUAAUGCAUCUUCGCAUAGGUCCCCGCCAUGCAACUAGGCUUAUGGUGCACGCUCGUCUCUAAAGGGAUAUAUAUUUUUCAAAAAAAAAAAAAAAAAUGCCAAGGACAAAGUUCAAACAAAUGACGAAUGAUGUGAAAGAGAAACCUACGAACAAAUGCGGUUUCCUCCGGAUGAAUGCAUUGACUAACUUAGGCCGGAUGUCCAGCGCGUUUGGACAUGCAGACGCGCGAUGAGUAACGGGUCUCCCGACGGGAUGAGAGAGGGCGGUCUGUGCUCAACGUCACAUGAACUAUAAAUAACAGCGCCACUUGCAGCCUGACAAAGUAACAUGGUUGCAUUAUCCGUACACAUGGCUCAAGCUGAGACGGUCGAGUUUGGCGUGGAGCAGGGACAGAUGCUGCAGGUCUUGAUGCGGCACUGCCAGACCAUGAAGCGUCAGGAGACACGACUGCGUCUGGCCACCGCGCUGCUGGUUGCAACAAUCUUCGCGACUUUGGUGUGGAUACAGUUUCACCAACAAAAUACUACGGAAGCAUUCUCAGGCGCUCGUCAAACGGCUUUGAAAACUACAGAUUCACCAAUAGGACACUCUGUUCAUCUUAAACCUUCAAGACAGAUAAAUGCUUGCUCAGAACCACAGUCCAUCGAGUGGGAGGCCGUGGAUGAUGGCUAUGAAUCCCAAAAUUUCGAGCUGAAAAACCAAACAGUUCUCCACAUCUCCACAGAGGGCCUGUACUUGAUCAAUCUGAGGAUCUCUUACCGUACAGCCUAUGGCCUGUGUGAGCCUGGUAAAGAUUUCGUUUUAGUGGUCAGGGUCACACAGUAUCAUAGAAACUAUGAAAGCGAGAGAGAGAUCAUAAGUGCUGAGGAGUCUAUGAUUUGUAGAGAUUAUUGGUUUCAGUCGAUCACUAUGAAUCGAGCAAUCAGGUUAGAAGCUGACACUAGUCUCCGGGUGAAAAUUAACCAGAAAAGUUGCACGUUUGUCAGCUGGACUAAAAACAGUCAUUUGGAUGUCACUUAUGUCUAGAGUUGUUUGUUUUUUUUGUUUUGUUUUUUUUAACUUCCCGAUGGCAUUAAUGCAUAUUUGAGAUUAGUUAGAAACAGCAUUAAGCAGGUGUUAAUUUUUUUUAAUGACCUAAGCUAUUUUUAAGGUGCUUUAAGAAAUAACAAAAUGUUUAACCACUUGGUUAAUAUAUUCAGGUUUAUUGAGAGGCUUACUCUCAUUCUUUAUGUUGAAACUGUUAUUAAAUAACAUGUACUAUCCACAAAAGAUGCAGAUUUUGAAUAUAGUUGUUAAGUGCUGUGACAGCCAAAUUGCACCAAAAUGUUGAUAGCAGGUGAAAUUAUGUGUGUGUUUUAUGUUAAAACUUUUUAAAUGUGCUUUUACGAACUGAUUCAUUAAGAGUUGUUUGUCAUUUGAUUUUAAAAAUCAGGUCUAUUAAAUUUAAAUUAGAACCCAUCCUGUUCAUUGUAUUUACCUCUAGGUGGCAGUUGCAUACAUAUGCAUUUCAGAAUGUAACAUGAUUUUGUGGUUCACUCAUAAAUCUGUAGACUUGUCUUGAAAUUCAAACAAAUAAUAUGUUAUUUCAAAUAACUGUUUCAAAGAUUCAAUUUAUAAAGCCACUGUCAAUGAUUUAAAUGUAUAUCUAGAAACAACAAUGCAAAAAAAAAAAAAAAAAAAAAACUUACAGAAUACACAAAACACCAUGUGUUUAUUUCAGGUCACUUUAAUUAGCUCACGAUUGCCUGUGUGUGUCUCCUUGAUUACUGGAUCAGGAAACAUGCUGCAUUUUCUCUGUACUGCAUGAAUAAAAAACUUGUAGUAUAAGAGAAUCAGUCUUUGUGUCUGCUUUUGUUCUUUGAAGAUGUUCUGAUAGACUGUUUAGCAUUGAACAGAGGCAGUCUGUAAUCUGACAGACCAAAAUCUCUUUGGAAUAGUGAUUUUGCUGAAUACAUGAACAGAUCCUUGAGACCAAGAUACAGGAAAAACAAAAAAAAACAAACAAAAAACGACUGGACUGGGUGCUUCCAAUGACAAUUAAAUCCUGAAAAGUGAAACUCUUAAACUGAGCAUCUGUGCUGGAAAAAACUGACAGGAGCAGUGUGUACUAACCACAUAGUGUGUGGAAAAGUACACCUGAAUGAAUUCUGCACAUUAGAAGAUGAUGCUGAAUGAAAGACCACAUUCAUCUGGCACACAGCCCAGGGAAGAACCUAUUAUUAAACAGUGUGGUAUCUGUCUGUGACACACUGUCUGUGGUAUCUGUCUAUGUUUGUUCUCGUGUGAGUAUGAAGUGGGCUUAUUUGAUGUACAAUUGGGUGACGUGAUUGUUGACUCAAGGAAAGUAGUAUCUUUACCAUUCAAUUUCUAACAGGAGCAAGACGGAAAUGAUUGAAAGGUUAUUACUAAAGAUUAGGGUACUAAGACUCAGACUGCAAGUAUGAACUCAGACGCACUCAAGUGGACUUAUUCUCAAACUUGAGAUGACUUUUUGGACAUAGUAAUAAUGAGACAUUAAUAAACAUCUCCCACUGAAACCCAUUAAUUAAGAACUAAGACUUGACAAUGUGGACUAGAUCUGACAUUAAUUAGAAUAUUACAGUGCCUUAUUUUAGUUG
Molecule: long non-coding RNA, 2670 nt
Organism: Cyprinus carpio carpio
Lineage: Eukaryota; Metazoa; Chordata; Actinopteri; Cypriniformes; Cyprinidae
Source: Ensembl